RNAcentral lists this transfer RNA (67 nucleotides) under Marmota monax (woodchuck). RNAcentral's name for it is "tRNA.Ala". The record is from RNAcentral. Lineage: Eukaryota; Metazoa; Chordata; Mammalia; Rodentia; Sciuridae.
GGUUAUGGCUCAGCAGUAGAGCGCUCGCCUCGCACAUGCAAGGCCCUGGGUUCGAAUCUCAGCACCA